Cygnus olor (mute swan) is the source of this 7910-nucleotide long non-coding RNA. RefSeq lists it as uncharacterized. Lineage: Eukaryota; Metazoa; Chordata; Aves; Anseriformes; Anatidae. The transcript has 3 exons. The record is from RefSeq and is a predicted model, not a curated record.
AAAUUUACAGAUAAACCAUGACAAAAAAUGGGAGGAAAAGGUCAGACAGAUGAAGUUGCAAAGGUGCCUGUUUUUGAGCAUGCAAUCUUUUAGUCUUUCAUUGACUAUUCUGCCAACAAAUGCCUCCGUGAGACAUUCCUGUCUUGCAUAAAGGUCGCUGAAGAGGGAAAGAGGCAGGGAACCUGCUGGAGGGGGAGAUCCCAGCACGAAACCCACCUUCAGAGCAGCUCCUCAGUGACCCGUGCAUAUCGUCACGUGUGUAAGAACUGCUUGGGCUGGGAAGGGAGGGGAUCUGUUUUGGUUUUUUAAAUUGUUUAAAAAUAAAGUAAGCUGCUAUUUUAGAAUUUAUGAACAGAAAGAUUGAAUUUAGCCUCUCUACAAAUACUUUAUGCUGAUGGAAUUAUUGUUGUUUCUCACUUUAAAAUACUAUUGCCCUCGUGCUCAAACAAAACACUGAAAUGAGGAAGCAUCCAGGGAUGAGUUCAGCUUCCAACAUACUCCCCAAUUACCCCCACACAUCAUUUGUAAUCCCUCAGCAUUACUUCAUCUGUGUAGCAGAUUUCUGUUUCCUGGUAAUAGCUAUUUAUUUUAGUCCCAUUUUUAAUAGAGGGACUUGGGAAGUAGAAGCAGAACAGGACAGAGAUCAUCGACCAUGUCCCCAACCAGCUGGACAGGGAGUUUCGAGGUCAUUAGCCACACUACUAAACAUCUAAUGGCAGGGGAAAAAAUCCUGUUAAUGCUAAUGAGUCAGAUUCCCUGAUCAGGGACUGGGAGUUACUCCCUGCAUGUUUAUAUGGUAGUAUCUUAGCUGCAUAAAUCAAAGGAAAUCGGAUAUAUAAAUACGAAUGUAAUACAGUUAAUGACUAUUCAUGUUUCUAGGUAUUUGUUGGCCAAAACAAAUGGUUAUGAAAGCAGUAUUCUUACUGCAUUGUACCAUUAAUUGCACAAGAACUUACUGCCUGAAAUAUCUCAGAUUUAAUGUGGAAAACAUUAAAACUUAGAGCAGGUUAGUUCAAAUAAGAGCCAAAACAAACUCGUAGAAAAGCACAACUAUGCAGUCUCCUACUGAUGAAGUAGGAUUAUCUUUUAGAGGGUCUUUUUAAGUAAAUAAAGGGGGGAAGAACGGCAUGAGGUGUACUUGUGAAUCUAUGCUUUGAUCAUAAACACUACUAAUUGCUAUUUGUUUCCCUAAGAGGAAACUCCUUAAACCAAUACCCGUACAGUACUUAUUACUGACAGCUAUUUGAGUUGACUUUUAAUUCUGGCUUUCAACAACACAUUUCUUCUGGUAUUUCUGUUACUUAAACACCAUCUGUAACUCUAUUCAGGAACAAGACUAGCAACACUUCCUCUGGAUUUCAGUUACACUCUUUUUGCUUAGAGGAAAAUACUGUCAGCAAAACUGAAUAUUAAAAAUCAAAAACCAAAAAACUUCUGUUUUUUAGCUUCAUAUAAUUCAAUUAAAGUUACACUGUUAGCAAGACAGUAACAUAAAGCCUGUAAAACUUGAAGGUGUGCACGAUAUCAUUUCCCCUGUAUUAUAUUCUGUGUUUUUCAUAAUGCAAAAUCAACAGCUGGUGACUGCAGGUCAGCUGUUUUGACAGCUGUAAAAAGUUUAAUUUGUAUGUAAAUGGGACCCAAUAAUCUUUUAUCCAUAUUAAAACAUACCAGGUUUUAGACUUAUUGAUACUUAUUUCAGAAUUAAUUCAAUUUUUCAGCUGUGACUUUGAUUUGCUAUCAAACAUAUUCUGGCAAAAACUUUUUAAGAUAUCAUUUUCCAACAUCUCAUUUUCAAUCCAGCAUGGUAUUUUUGAUUAGCAAAUUAACCACCUGUGUACACCUAUAACAAACAGCACAAUGUAAAACUGCUUAACACUUUCCCUACUUUCACUGUUUCUGUUCCUUUCUAGGAUUUGGAUAAUUUGUGAUACAAAUUCUUUUGGGAAUGGCAGCAUUUCAUUUAAUCAUCCCCUUCUACCAAGACCCCAUCCCUAUUUCUUAUUUUGUGUUUGUAACUCAGAAGAACAACUAAGUUUUUGUCAGUUUCCUUGAUCAUUCUGGAUAAAAUCUUAAGUGCUAAGUGGGGGUUUGAGACUCGCCUCAGACCUCAGGUACUAGAGUCUCCGAAGAACUUACUGAGACCAGCCAGCAGUACUUACUGAAACAGCUUUCUGCAUAUACACAUCCUAGAGGAGAUAAAUGAAUUCCCUUACACAACACCAAGUACUUAAUAACAAACUUUGCCAGCUGCUUCCCUAGCUCACAGCCUUCCUCACAGCACCUAAGCGCCCCGGGGCAGAGCAGGGGCCGUUAUGACUUGCACAGCCAGACCGCCUCAGGCCUUUUGGGGCUCUCUGUAAGCUGCAGGCCCAGCCGACCCCAGGCGUCCCAUUUUUUUGUGCUUUUUGGUUCGUUUGGCGGGGCGGGGGCUCUGGCUGUGCAACACCGGGCGGGCGGAGGAGGUCCCGGGGUUGGGAUAAGAAGGGUGGGGACAGGAGGGAAGGGGACAGGGCCGGGCCGGGCAGGGCAGGGGGCUCCAGUCAGCCCCGAACCCGCCCCCGACGCCUUUAAAGGACCCACUGGGGGCCGCCCUACCCUGCCCCGCCCCGCCCUGUCCGCGGGGCCAGAAGCCGCAGCCCGCUCGGGGGAGGGCGGUCACGGAGCUCUGGGGGUUCUCACCGGGGGGGGCUGCAGCUCCCUAAGCGUGGCGAGGCAUGGCUGCAGGCGUGCCCCGUGUUACCAAAGGCCGCGGUAUGUGCCGUCCUCCCUCGGAGCGGCGGAGAGUGGACUGUUUGGAUUUGAACUAUUCAAGAAAGGAACCAUCUGUUUUUACAAACAAGUGGGAAAAGAGCGAGAGAAAACAAAAUAGCAUACAUUUGAAGAAUCCCAAUCUAUGUUCAACGUGUUGCGUGUGUAUUUGUUAACAGGAAUUUAUGGAAUGACUUUUAAAGCAUUGGAAUGGGACCAUUGUGGUCAUCUAACUUCACUCUGUAUAUUCAAGGAAUUCCAUUGUCUUGUUACCACAGUUGGAGCUGUACAUUUAGGAACGCUUCUUAAAACCCAUAGAGUCAAGACAACCUCCCAGUUCUAGAAAAAUCAAGUUCAGUAAAAUAGGGGGACAAACUCUUGCUCAUCUCUUUUGUAAUAUCCUUGUAUCUUCUGCAAAGACAUGAUACUGGACAGAAUUCUGGUCCAGAAGUACUUGUCUCAACUAUAUACUUGUACUGCGUGCUAUCAGUACAUACAAAACAAAACUUUUUUUUUCCGCCCUCACAAGUAAUUUAUUGUCUGUAACAUAGGACACUAAAUGCAUUGCUGCUUCUCUGUGGUAUGUAUCCUGAUUGGAAUAUCCCUUCAUGCUUAAUACAAAGCAUUGCUUUUGAUCUUAUAUUUGAGUCAGGACACUUAAAGGGGGAAAAAAAGUUUCCUAUAGUUUGCAGUAAGCAACAAGAUCUGGUCAGCUUUGAACCAUGGGUCAAAGUAUAACAAACCAACAGGAUACUGCAGUGAUCCAAGUCUAAGUUAAGUACUAAAAAUAUUUUCCCUCUUACACUACCUUGUGACUGCAGUAAUUAAAAUGCAGAUAGUUGAAGUUAGUUGUUGAGUUAACCUCCUGUGUGAACAGGGAGCAGGGCAAGUACAGUUCACUCCAGAAAAUGUUUGGUUUGCUGAAAUGAGAGUCACUACCCAGUGAGUCAUGUUAGGACUCCACCCACUGUAGUCCAAACAUCAGCGUUUCAUGCAAACAUUACAACUGCCGUCAGGGUCUCCUGUUCUGCUGGGUGGAACCACACUAAAAAUAGACACUUCAUCCUUACUCAGAGCAUGCAAGGAGAACAGCAGGUUGUUCUGCUAGAUUACUUGAAAUAGCAGCAUGUCCAACAAUUUUCACCACUGAUGUUUUACUCCUUAUGAUUAAAACCACUCAUUUCAGAUUAGUUACUAAUAAGUAGAUGGCAUACAUCCACAGGCUCACAAAAUUUUGCAACAGACUGAAGUAUUUUGCCAAGAAACUUAAAUGACUCAGCUGACGAUGCAAAGUUAGUGACCUUCAUCCCAGUAUACCGAAAUAAUCAGCAAAUGAAAUUGUGAUUCUGGCAGCAAGGAUAUUUUUUUAAAUACCAAAUUGCAGAUUACAAGUUUUGUUACUCUCAACAACAUAGAAUGCUUACUCUUAUCUCCGCUUUCCAAGGCUUACAACCAAACACAAAGAUGUUCAUGUUAAAGAUGAAUCACUGGACGUACUGGAUCAGGCUGACACAACGUUUAUUCUGAUUGAGGAAUUCAGUAUAAGUCGCUUGGACUUGACAAGAAGAACCCAUAAUUAAACUAGAGAAGACAGAAAUUAGCAUGACCAAGGAGGAAGAAUUUGAAAGUAAGCACAAAGGCCAUAUUGAAAAAGGAAUUUGUUGAAUUCUGCUAAGUUGGUCUGGGAUCAAUUCCAAGUUUUCUCUUAAAAUGAGCACAGAAAUUCUCAAAAGUUAGGAACAAGCUAAUGGUACCUGCUGAUGAAACUGAAGUGUCACCAAUAUUGAGAAUAAUCCAAACCAGAAUAAGUAUGGGGAUCAUUAUAACAUCUAGAUUUGCUAAUUAAGAACUGCUGUAAUGCCAGGUCAUGCAUUUAAAUUAAUAAUUUCCAUGGUAAUUUGGAGGUCAACUGCAAGUGACAGCAGUGAAAGGAUUAGGGUGGUGCUCAGCCAUUGAAGAUGACAGACACCAAGAGGAAAACAAGGAAUUUCUAACAGGGAAGUACUAAUAUAUUCUUACAUCCAUUGAUCUAUACACUGAUACAGGUAUGGUCUUUACCAAAAAGAAAGACUGAAAUUAAGUUUAAAAUGAGCAGCUAAGUGAACAAAGCAUAAAUAGGGCAGGAGAAGAGAGGAGAUGCAGCUUAAUAUGUUUAGUGUAGCAAAAUGAAGACUGCUGCAUGAUGACUAUCUAUAACAGAUGAUGUAUAAAUACCAGGAAGAACAUGAAGUGAAAUUUAAUAAGGACAAAGGGUAUUUAGGUGUAUUUAAAACAGAUUUUAAGAUAUGGUUGGUCAAAACAGGAAAGAACCGAAUUCAUGAUUCAGGAAACUCCCUCUAAAGUAAAGCUAGUGGAUACAGGGAACCAGAGAACAUGGCAACAAUGAAGUAGUGGCUGUUAAACAUACCACAACUAGCAACACAAACUUCUUUCUCUGUUCGGAGAAAUGCAUCGUAUUAACCUUUUUCUUCCAUCACAUGAAUUUACGAUGUCAGACUGUAAUUGCUUUUUAGUUUAGCCAGCACAAAGCAGUUUGCAAGGACUUACUUUAGAUCUUAGUCUAAUCCUACAGUCAUCAUUACUAUAACUGUUCUGCGCAUCAUCAAUCCUAAGUACUUUACAGAUGUCAUAGGAAACCUGACUGUUGCAUACUGCCUAUCCACAAACUUCUCAUGAAGAAUCAUCCAAUUAUCAUCUGCAAGCCUUGCAGCACAACAGAGCACACAAGGAAGCUAAUUACCAUCAUGCAUCUGCAAUUCCCAUUGUGGUAUACAACUUUUGUUUCUACUGCUGAAACUGUAAUCAUUUAAGAAGUAUUGUGGUUUUAAUAAGGCAUUUCUAUUAGAAUUCAUCCAGCAAGUAUUGAUUUUGGUAAGCAACACAGAGUACCUUCAUGUGCUUGUGGAUUUUACAUUCACUUGCUCAAAAACGCAAACAAGCACAGGCUUAUACUAAGAAGAUGUCAGAAAAAAAGUAUAAUGUCUGUAUGCUAAUUAAACUGCAAGUUAUCAGAGGUUACCAUGCUCACUGAAAAGACAACAAAUAAUUAACAAUAAAAAUAAAAAAAAAUAAAAAAUAUUAACAAUAGCUUUGUCAAAGCUAUUUGGAGCAAUGCAUCCUAAACAGAAAAGGAAAAAAUCCCCCUAAUAGAUCCAAGAACUCAGUGAUUUACAAAUAAUAGCAAAUUAGAGCUUGAAAUCCUUGAUGUUGCUUGACUCCCAAGCUUUUUCCACCAGAUUACUUGUGCAAUUUCAGGUUUUCAGAUAUGAAAUUCCCUACAGUGGAGCAACAGAAGACCUUUAGGAUUUCCUGCCUAGAUUUUCGAACUUCAGAGAAGGCAAUGCCUCUUUCUUCAGCUUCCUAAGUAAUAAUGACACAGCACAGGAUUUACAAUCAAGCAAAAUGAUGCAUUACAAUGUGCUUGCAAUGUCAUCCUUCACAAGAGUGGCCACUGAAAUUUGAAAAUUCCGCAGUCAAAGCAAGGUUCACAAUACACCACUCACCCAGUAACAGAAUGGAUGGAAUCAAAUGUAGCAUUUUUAAGAUGGCAACUGCUUUUCUGCCCCAAUUCUAUGUAUUUGUCGCUGUGAUGUCUAGCAUACAACUGAACAUACAGAUUGUGGGCUCUUCUGACACCCCUGCUUUGCAGUGCAUCAUUCCACACAGGAAGACACAGCCUCAAUCCCUUGUAAUGCAUCAUCAUUCAUCUUCAGGUACACGUAAGGACUGUGGCAAAUUCCACAAUACCUUUUCUAUAGUAAUGAUCACAAAUUGAUCUUUCUUCUUAGAAGUUUGCAUUUUGUCCACAGCUGUUGACUAAACAGAAUAGCCAUUCAACGUGAAAACUUUCAACUCUGAAUCUUUCUUCUUACAUGUUAAUUUUCCUAACAGAGAAUGACAAGAGUUUACUACAAAGGGGAGAGAUCAGAGAAAUAAUAUGCUUUUUUUCCUCUGCUUAUUGCAGUAGUUACGAAAGACCUAUCCAGCUUUGCUGCUCAUUCUUUUCCUCCAUCUAUUUCAAGGCUUAUUUUAAAAAGAACACUGUGACCUGAAAAAUGCGUAUAAGUGGCCAAAGAUUGAAUAUUAAGUUUAAAGAAGAGAACGGGAAAAAAACAUUAGUGAGACUAGUAAAAAUGAGGCAAGUUUUAACACAUUUAAUGCUCACUUUGAAAAGAGGUGAAAUCUUUGCUAUGCUUUCAGUUUUCAGGCGCCUUGCCCUUGCAAUUAGAUCUUAGAAUUUAGCACUGAACCACUCAGGGAAUUCCCCAGAUAGGAACAACUAGAACAGGAUUUAUAGAUUUUUUAAUGGGUUUCUCACUCUUCGAUUAAUGUGGCAAAUUUUGCACAAAGGUAUUUGAGGUGAACACUGGCUUUGCAGGCUUCUCCAUGAUGUUUCUAAUUAAUUUCUCAAAACAGAUGUGUGCAAAUGCAUCAGAAAUAGUCAUUAGUACAUAAGCAUGAACAGGUAUGUUGUAGAAGAGGGGUACUUCUACUGUAUUAGGUGAAUCCACUGCAAUACAGUUGAACAGACUACCAAAGGUAAUGUAUUAGCUGAAAUUGUAAAAAGUUACAAUUCAGAAUGGCUUUCCUUCUGCUAAAAUUAAUUCCAGGUGAAAUAGGUUCAGGGGAAAAAUAGGAAGUUUCUGACCCAGCACUACAGGAUCAGGGAACAGGGAAUUCCUAUUUGAUGACAUCCAAUUUUUAAUCUCAGAAAUUCACUGAAGUAUAUUGCUGGGCUUUUCUUUUGCAAACAAGGAAACUCCAGUAGCAAUGGUUUGUAGGGUUUUCUAGCCCUAUGAACUUAGUUGCUAGUUUAAUUCUCUGAACCCCUACUUUAUGAGGGUGUAAUUCCGUUAUACUUUAUUUCCUUUUCCGAAGGAUCAAAUAUGCAUAGAAAUAAUAGAACAAUGUAAACUGAAUUUGGUGUCUCAUACCCCACCAAUGAAGGCCAUAUACAUAGCACUAUUUAUAAGCCAGUGACCAUUCUGUAGUCCCUCUGGAAAAGUAUAUUAUGUGCAGUGCAAGACACCUCCCUGGGUGCUUUAUUAGUUAGGGGGAAAACACAAGAAAGCUGCAGAAUUUGAGAUGACUUGCAUCCACUCUAGUUUGCAUUUCUGAUACCAUGUUAUCCCCUCCUUCCUCCGAAAGGGGAUUCAUUAUAC